RNAcentral lists this ribosomal RNA (401 nucleotides) under uncultured bacterium. RNAcentral's name for it is "bacterial SSU rRNA". It matches the Rfam family "Bacterial small subunit ribosomal RNA", at positions 499 to 895 of the family's 1533-position model. The record is from RNAcentral.
ACGCUCGACAGUGUCAGCAGCCGCGGUAAUACGGGGGGGGCAAGCGUUGUUCGGAAUUACUGGGCGUAAAGGGUUCGUAGGUGGCCAACUAAGUCAGACGUGAAAUCCCUCAGCUUAACUGGGGAACUGCGUCUGAUACUGGUUGGCUUGAGUGCAGGAGAGGAACGCGGAAUUCCAGGUGUAGCGGUGAAAUGCGUAGAUAUCUGGAGGAACACCGGUGGCGAAGGCGGCGUUCUGGACUGCAACUGACACUGAGGAACGAAAGCCAGGGGAGCAAACGGGAUUAGAUACCCCGGUAGUCCUGGCCCUAAACGAUGAAUGCUUGGUGUGGCGGUAUCGAUCCCUGCCGUGCCGAAGUUAACGCGAUAAGCAUUCCGCCUGGGGAGUACGGUCGCAAGGCU